UACGGAGGGUGCGAGUGUUAUCCGGAAUCACUGGGUUUAAAGGGUGAGUAGGCGGUUCGGUAAGUCAGUUGUGAAAGCCCCUUGCUUAACGAGGGAGGUGCUAUUGAUACUGUCGAGCUUGAAUCGGGAUGAGGCAGGCGGAAUGUGGCAUGUAGCGGUGAAAUGCAUAGAUAUGGCAUAGAACACCGAUUGCGAAGGCAGCCUGCUGGGCCUGUAUUGACGCUGAGGCACGAAAGCGUGGGGAGCAAACAGG
RNAcentral lists this ribosomal RNA (253 nucleotides) under uncultured bacterium. RNAcentral describes it as "partial 16S ribosomal RNA". It matches the Rfam family "Bacterial small subunit ribosomal RNA", at positions 524 to 776 of the family's 1533-position model. The record is from RNAcentral.